GCGGCUAUAAUGCAGUCGAGGGGUAUGGGAGAGCUUGCUUUCCCUGAGACCGGCGCACGGGUGCGUAACGCGUAUGCAACCUACCCUUUUCUGGGGGAUAGCCCGAAGAAAUUCGGAUUAAUACCGCAUAAGACCACGCUAUGGCAUCAUAGAGGGGUCAAACAUUUAUGGGAGAAGGAUGGGCAUGCGUGCCAUUAGCUAGUUGGCGGGGUAACGGCCCACCAAGGCGACGAUGGCUAGGGGAUCUGAGAGGAUGGCCCCCCACACUGGUACUGAGACACGGACCAGACUCCUACGGGAGGCAGCAGUAAGGAAUAUUGGUCAAUGGAGGCAACUCUGAACCAGCCAUGCCGCGUGCAGGAAGACGGCCCUCUGGGUUGUAAACUGCUUUUAUUCGGGAAUAAACCCUUUGCUCGUGAGCGAAGCUGAAUGUACCGAAGGAAUAAGGAUCGGCUAACUCCGUGCCAGCAGCCGCGGUAAUACGGAGGAUCCAAGCGUUAUCCGGAUUUAUUGGGUUUAAAGGGUGCGUAGGCGGCCUGUUAAGUCAGGGGUGAAAGACGGUAGCUCAACUAUCGCAGUGCCCUUGAUACUGAUGGGCUUGAAUGGACUAGAGGUAGGCGGAAUGAGACAAGUAGCGGUGAAAUGCAUAGAUAUGUCUCAGAACACCGAUUGCGAAGGCAGCUUACUAUGGUCUUAUUGACGCUGAGGCACGAAAGCGUGGGGAUCGAACAGGAUUAGAUACCCUGGUAGUCCACGCCCUAAACGAUGAAUACUCGCUGUUGGCGAUACACAGUCAGCGGCUAAGCGAAAGCGUUAAGUAUUCCACCUGGGGAGUACGCCCGCAAGGGUGAAACUCAAAGGAAUUGACGGGGGCCCGCACAAGCGGAGGAGCAUGUGGUUUAAUUCGAUGAUACGCGAGGAACCUUACCCGGGCUUGAAAGUUAGUGAACUAUCCAGAGAUGGAUGGGUCCUUCGGGACACGAAACUAGGUGCUGCAUGGCUGUCGUCAGCUCGUGCCGUGAGGUGUUGGGUUAAGUCCCGCAACGAGCGCAACCCCUAUGUUUAGUUGCCAGCACGUUAAGGUGGGGACUCUAAACAGACUGCCUGUGCAAACAGAGAGGAAGGAGGGGACGACGUCAAGUCAUCAUGGCCCUUACGUCCGGGGCUACACACGUGCUACAAUGGACGGUACAGAGGGCAGCUAGGCAGCAAUGUCGUGCGAAUCUCAAAAAGCCGUUCACAGUUCGGAUUGGGGUCUGCAACUCGACCCCAUGAAGUUGGAUUCGCUAGUAAUCGCGUAUCAGCAAUGACGCGGUGAAUACGUUCCCGGGCCUUGUACACACCGCCCGUCAAGCCAUGGAAGUUGGGGGUACCUAAAGUACGUAACCGCAAGGAGCGUCCUAGGUAA
RNAcentral lists this ribosomal RNA (1408 nucleotides) under Pedobacter ureilyticus. RNAcentral's name for it is "16S ribosomal RNA". It matches the Rfam family "Bacterial small subunit ribosomal RNA". Lineage: Bacteria; Pseudomonadati; Bacteroidota; Sphingobacteriia; Sphingobacteriales; Sphingobacteriaceae. The record is from RNAcentral.